GCACAAGCGGUGGAGCAUGUUGGUUUAAUUCGACGCAACGCGAAGAAACCUUACCGAGGGCUUGACACUCCCCUGACCGCGUAUGAAAGUACGUUUUCACCCUCGGGUGACAGGGAGACAGGUGGUGCAUGGUUGUCGUCAGCUCGUGUCGUGAGAUGUUGGGUUAAGUCCCGCAACGAGCGCAACCCUUGCUGUCAGUUGCCAUCAUUAAGUUGGGCACUCUGGCGGGACUGCCGGUGAUAAAUCGGAGGAAGGUGGGAUGACGCCAAAUCAUCAUGCCCCUUAUGUCCUGGGCUACACACGUACUACAAUGGCUACUACAACAGGAAGCGAAGCCGCGAGGUGGAGCGAAUCCCCAAAAGUAGCCUCAGUUCGGAUUGCAGGCUGAAACUCGCCUGCAUGAAGUCGGAAUUGCUAGUAAUUGCAGGUCAGCAUACUGCAGUGAAUACGUUCCCGGGCCUU
This 462-nucleotide ribosomal RNA is filed under the name uncultured Oscillospiraceae bacterium. RNAcentral describes it as "bacterial SSU rRNA". It matches the Rfam family "Bacterial small subunit ribosomal RNA", at positions 923 to 1382 of the family's 1533-position model. The record is from RNAcentral. Lineage: Bacteria; Bacillati; Bacillota; Clostridia; Eubacteriales; Oscillospiraceae.